UAUGUGCACAGACUCAUUGGACAGAGUCCUC
This 31-nucleotide non-coding RNA is filed under the name Rattus norvegicus (Norway rat). Lineage: Eukaryota; Metazoa; Chordata; Mammalia; Rodentia; Muridae. The record is from RNAcentral.